GGGGAAUUUUCCGCAAUGGGCGAAAGCCUGACGGAGCAAUACCGCGCGAGGGAGGAAGGCUCUUGGGUUGUAAACCUCUUUUCUCAGGGAAGAACAAAAUGACGGUACCUGAGGAAUAAGCAUCGGCUAACUCCGUGCCAGCAGCCGCGGUAAUACGGAGGAUGCAAGCGUUAUCCGGAAUGAUUGGGCGUAAAGCGUUCGUAGGUGGUCCUUCAGGUCUGCUGUCAAAGCGCAGGGCUUAACUCUGUAAAGGCGGUGGAAACUGAAGAGCUAGAGUGCGGUAGGGGUAGAGGGAAUUCCCGGUGUAGCGGUGAAAUGCGUAGAGAUCGGGAAGAACACCAGCAGCGAAAGCGCUCUACUGGGCCUGCACUGACACUGAGGGACGAAAGCUAGGGGAGCGAAUGGGAUUAGAUACCCCAGUAGUCCUAGCCGUAAACGAUGGAUACUAGGUGUUGCCUGUAUCGACCCGGGCAGUGCCGUAGCUAACGCGUUAAGUAUCCCGCCUGGGGAGUACGCGCGCAAGCGUGAAACUCAAAGGAAUUGACGGGGGCCCGCACAAGCGGUGGAGUAUGUGGUUUAAUUCGAUGCAACGCGAAGAACCUUACCAGGGCUUGACAUGUCGCGAACCUCAGGGAAACUUGAGGGUGCCUUCGGGAGCGCGAACACAGGUGGUGCAUGGCUGUCGUCAGCUCGUGUCGUGAGAUGUUGGGUUAAGUCCCGCAACGAGCGCAACCCUCGUCCUAAGUUGCCAGCAUUAAGUUGGGCACUCUGAGGAGACUGCCGGUGACAAACCGGAGGAAGGUGGGGAUGACGUCAAGUCAGCAUGCCCCUUACGUCCUGGGCUACACACGUACUACAAUGCUACGGACAAAGGGCAGCCAGACAGCAAUGUCGAGCAAAUCCCAUAAACCGUGGCACAGUUCAGAUUGCAGGCUGCAACUCGCCUGCAUGAAGGUGGAAUCGCUAGUAAUCGCAGGUCAGCAUACUGCGGUGAAUCCGUUCCCGGGCCUUGUACACACCGCCCGUCACACCAUGGAAGCUGGCUUAGCCCGAAGUCGUUACCCUAACCCGCAAGGGAGGGGGACGCCGAAGGCAGGGCUGGUGACUGGGGUGAAGUCGUAACAAGGUAGCCGUACCGGAAGGUGUGGCUGGAUCACCUCCUU
Molecule: ribosomal RNA, 1163 nt
Filed under: coccoid cyanobacterium CMT-3BRIN-NPC115
Lineage: Bacteria; Bacillati; Cyanobacteriota
Description: bacterial SSU rRNA
Rfam family: Bacterial small subunit ribosomal RNA
Source: RNAcentral